Molecule: ribosomal RNA, 509 nt
Filed under: uncultured bacterium
Lineage: Bacteria
Description: bacterial SSU rRNA
Rfam family: Bacterial small subunit ribosomal RNA
Source: RNAcentral
AGAGUUUGAUCAUGGCUCAGGAUGAACGCUGGCGGCGUGCUUAACACAUGCAAGUCGAACGGAGUUUUAAACGGAAGUCCUCGGAUGGAAGUUUAGAAACUUAGUGGCGGACGGGUGAGUAACGCGUGGGUAACCUGCCUCAUACAGGGGGAUAACAGUCGGAAACGAUUGCUAAAACCGCAUAACAUAGCGAAACCGCAUGAUUUUGCUAUCAAAUAUUUAUAGGUAUGAGAUGGGCCCGCGUCUGAUUAGCUAGUUGGUGGGGUAAUGGCCUACCAAGGCGACGAUCAGUAGCCGGCUAGAGAGAGUGACCGGCCACAUUGGGACUGAGACACGGCCCAAACUCCUACGGGAGGCAGCAGUGGGGAAUAUUGGACAAUGGGGGAAACCCUGAUCCAGCGACGCCCGCGUGAGUGAAGAAGUAUUUCGGUAUGUAAAGCUCUAUCAGCAGGGAAGAUAAUGACAGUACCUGACUAAGAAGCCCCGGCUAACUACGUGCCAGCAGCAGC